Molecule: ribosomal RNA, 600 nt
Filed under: uncultured bacterium
Lineage: Bacteria
Description: bacterial SSU rRNA
Rfam family: Bacterial small subunit ribosomal RNA
Source: RNAcentral
GUACGAUCGCAAGAUUAAAACUCAAAGGAAUUGACGGGGGCCCCGCACAAGCAGCGGAGCAUGCGGCUUAAUUCGACGCAACGCGAAGAACCUUACCAAGGCUUGACAUAUACAGGAAUAUGGCAGAGAUGUCAUAGCCGCAAGGUCUGUAUACAGGUGGUGCAUGGUUGUCGUCAGCUCGUGUCGUGAGAUGUUGGGUUAAGUCCCGCAACGAGCGCAACCCUCGUUCUGUGUUGCCAGCAUUUAGUUGGGGACUCACAGGAGACUGCCGGGGUUAACUCGGAGGAAGGUGGGGAUGACGUCAAAUCAUCAUGCCCCUUAUGUCUUGGGCUGCACGCAUGCUACAAUGGCUGGUACAAACGGCUGCGAUACCGCAAGGUGGAGCGAAUCCGAUAAAGCCAGUCUCAGUUCGGAUUGGGGUCUGCAACUCGACCCCAUGAAGUCGGAGUUGCUAGUAAUCGUAGAUCAGCAACGCUACGGUGAAUACGUUCCCGGGGCUUGUACACACCGCCCGUCACAUCACGAAAGUCGGUAACACCCAAAGUCAGUGGCCCAACCGCAAGGAGGGAGCUGCCAAAGGUGGGAUCGGUGAUUGGGAUG